GGGAAUGUAGCUCAGUGGCACAGCGCCAGCCUGGUAAGCACAAGGCCUGAGUUGGAUUCUCAGUACCCA
RNAcentral lists this transfer RNA (69 nucleotides) under Fukomys damarensis (Damara mole-rat). It matches the Rfam family "tRNA". From Rfam's summary of the family: Transfer RNA (tRNA) molecules are approximately 80 nucleotides in length. Their secondary structure includes four short double-helical elements and three loops (D, anti-codon, and T loops). The record is from Rfam by way of RNAcentral. Lineage: Eukaryota; Metazoa; Chordata; Mammalia; Rodentia; Bathyergidae.